GAAGAGGAAAAGGAGGAGGAGAGCAUCGUAGAACUGGAGGGAAUGAGACGAGGUCCUGUAAAGAGAAGAACUCUACACUGAGUGAAUCAGGGAGACAUGGAGGUUAUGUUUUCAAUGACAAAACAGGAAGUGGAAUUGCAGCCCCCAGAACGUUUGUACCUUUAGGACCUGGACGAGACCUGGACUAGACCUGGACGAGGUGACGAGUCCUGGAAGAGGUGACUAGACCUGGACGAGACCUGGACGAGACCUGGACGAGGUGACGAGUCCUGGAAGAGGUGACGAGACCUGGACGAGACCUGGACGAGACCUGGACGAGGUGACGAGUCCUGGAAGAGGUGACGAGACCUGGACGAGACCUGGACGAGGUGACAAGUCCUGGACGAGGUGACGAGACCUGGACGAGACCUGGACGAGACCUGGACGAGACCUGGACGAGACCUGGACGAGGUGACGAGACCUGGACGAGGUGACGAGACCUGGACGAGACCUGGACGAGGUGACGAGUCCUGGAAGAGACUCAGCAGAAAAGUUGCAGUGGAAGUGUGACAGUUUAAAACCUCAAACGGUUUCUGAUGACGUGUGAACAAACAAAGGAAAAAAAGAAAAUCAAGUUUGACCUCUGCUCUUCUUCUCCUGGAGCUCUCGACUGUACAACAUGGUCUUCACCAGCAGGUGGAGACGCCCGACUGCAACAUUACCAACAGAGUCGCCAUUUACUGGGUGAAGACUUUUAUUUUGAAAAACAUCUGGACAUUUCUACAAGGAAACAGACUAUAAAAGUUUAACAGCUGCAGGACGGAGCUCAGGGGCCCCGUCCGGAGGUCGGCCCUCAGACGGCUACAUGUACGGAGGCCUUUUACUGUCAGGGACAAAGAGCUCUUGUUAGAAAUGACUCAAAUAAGAAAUAAAAAUUAAAAAUGUCUUAAUUUGACAAUUUAUUGGUCUGAUUUGGUUUUGUAAACAAAUAUUGUUGCUUUGUUUGUUCUUUUGGAAAAUGUGUUUUUAAAAAAAGUGAAUGAAUAAACAACGUUCUUUCCUGUA
Long non-coding RNA from Scophthalmus maximus (turbot), 1044 nucleotides. RefSeq lists it as uncharacterized. The record is from RefSeq and is a predicted model, not a curated record. The transcript has 5 exons. Lineage: Eukaryota; Metazoa; Chordata; Actinopteri; Pleuronectiformes; Scophthalmidae.